AUAGCGGAGGAAAAGAAACCAACUGGGAUUACCUUAGUAACGGCGAGUGAAGCGGUAAAAGCUCAAAUUUGAAAUCUGGUACUUUCAGUGCCCGAGUUGUAAUUUGUAGAAUUUGUCUUUGAUUAGGUCCUUGUCUAUGUUCCUUGGAACAGGACGUCAUAGAGGGUGAGAAUCCCGUUUGGCGAGGAUACCUUUUCUCUGUAAGACUUUUUCGAAGAGUCGAGUUGUUUGGGAAUGCAGCUCAAAGUGGGUGGUAAAUUCCAUCUAAAGCUAAAUAUUGGCGAGAGACCGAUAGCGAACAAGUACAGUGAUGGAAAGAUGAAAAGAACUUUGAAAAGAGAGUGAAAAAGUACGUGAAAUUGUUGAAAGGGAAGGGCAUUUGAUCAGACAUGGUGUUUUUUGCAUGCACUCGCCUCUCGUGGGCUUGGGCCUCUCAAAAAUUUCACUGGGCCAACAUCAAUUCUGGCAGCAGGAUAAAUCAUUAAGAAUGUAGCUACUUCGGUAGUGUUAUAGCUUUUUGGAAUACUGUUAGCCGGGAUUGAGGACUGCGCUUCGGCAAGGAUGUUGGCAUAAUGGUUAAAUGCCGCCCGUCUUGAAACACCGGAAC
This 607-nucleotide ribosomal RNA is filed under the name Hanseniaspora uvarum. RNAcentral describes it as "eukaryotic LSU rRNA". It matches the Rfam family "Eukaryotic large subunit ribosomal RNA", at positions 47 to 664 of the family's 3401-position model. The record is from RNAcentral. Lineage: Eukaryota; Fungi; Ascomycota; Saccharomycetes; Saccharomycodales; Saccharomycodaceae.